AAACUGCGAAUGGCUCAUUAAAUCAGUUAUCGUUUAUUUGAUAGUACCUUGCUACAUGGAUAACCGUGGUAAUUCUAGAGCUAAUACAUGCUAAAAAUCCCGACUUCGGAAGGGAUGUAUUUAUUAGAUUAAAAACCAAUGNCCUUCGGGGCUCUCUGGUGAUUCAUAAUAACUUCUCGAAUNNCANGGCCUUGCGCCGGCGAUGGUUCAUUCAAAUUUCUGCCCUAUCAACUUUCGACGGCUGGGUCUUGGCCAGCCAUGGUGACAACGGGUAACGGAGGGUUAGGGCUCGACCCCGGAGAAGGAGCCUGAGAAACGGCUACUACAUCCAAGGAAGGCAGCAGGCGCGCAAAUUACCCAAUCCCGACUCGGGGAGGUAGUGACAAUAAAUACUGAUACAGGGCUCUUUUGGGUCUUGUAAUUGGAAUGAGUACAAUUUAAAUCCCUUAACGAGGAACAAUUGGAGGGCAAGUCUGGUGCCAGCAGCCGCGGUAAUUCCAGCUCCAAUAGCGUAUAUUAAAGUUGUUGAGGUUAAAAAGCUCGUAGUUGAACCUUGGGCCUAGCCGGCCGGUCCGCCUCACCGCGUGCACUGGCUCGGCUGGGCCUUUCCUUCUGGAGAACCGCAUGCCCUUCACUGGGUGUGUCGGGGAACCAGGACUUUUACUCUGAACAAAUUAGAUCGCUUAAAGAAGGCCUAUGCUCGAAUACAUUAGCAUGGAAUAAUAGAAUAGGACGUGUGGUUCUAUUUUGUUGGUUUCUAGGACCGCCGUAAUGAUUAAUAGGGACAGUCGGGGGCAUCAGUAUUCAAUUGUCAGAGGUGAAAUUCUUGGAUUUAUUGAAGACUAACUACUGCGAAAGCAUUUGCCAAGGAUGUUUUCAUUAAUCAGGAACGAAAGUUAGGGGAUCGAAGACGAUCACAUACCGUCGUAGUCUUAACCAUAAACUAUGCCGAUUAGGGAUCGGACGAUGUUAUUUUUUGACUCGUUCGGCACCUUACGAUAAAUCAAAAUGUUUGGG
RNAcentral lists this ribosomal RNA (1017 nucleotides) under Cercophora septentrionalis. RNAcentral's name for it is "SSU rRNA". It matches the Rfam family "Eukaryotic small subunit ribosomal RNA", at positions 84 to 1111 of the family's 1831-position model. The record is from RNAcentral. Lineage: Eukaryota; Fungi; Ascomycota; Sordariomycetes; Sordariales; Lasiosphaeriaceae.